Molecule: long non-coding RNA, 215 nt
Filed under: Lathyrus oleraceus (garden pea)
Lineage: Eukaryota; Viridiplantae; Streptophyta; Magnoliopsida; Fabales; Fabaceae
Description: Pisum sativum (pea) long non-coding RNA (PSAT_LNC035916)
Source: RNAcentral
AAAAGGACACUAAGGAAAGGCUAUUAGAUGAUUUAAUCUAUAUUGGAAGAAAAUUUAACAGCUCUUUGAUAAACAAUAUCUAUAUACAAAUAUAAGAGAGAGAGAGAGAGAGAGAGAGAGAGAGAGGGAGAUGAAAAGGAAUUCCUAUAUAUAAGAGAGUGAGAGAGAGAGAGAGAGAGAGAGAGAAAGAGAGAUAGAUAGAGAGAGAGAGAGAG